GACGAACGCUGGCGGCGUGCUUAACACAUGCAAGUCGAGCGGAAAGGCCCUUCGGGGUACUCGAGCGGCGAACGGGUGAGUAACACGUGAGUAACCUGCCCCAGACUUUGGGAUAACCCUCGGAAACGGGGGCUAAUACCGGAUACAACACAGCUUCGCAUGGGGUCUGUGUGGAAAGUUUUUCGGUUUGAGAUGGGCUCGCGGCCUAUCAGCUUGUUGGUGGGGUGAUGGCCUACCAAGGCGACGACGGGUAGCCGGCCUGAGAGGGCGACCGGCCACACUGGGACUGAGACACGGCCCAGACUCCUACGGGAGGCAGCAGUGGGGAAUAUUGCACAAUGGGCGGAAGCCUGAUGCAGCGACGCCGCGUGAGGGAUGACGGCCUUCGGGUUGUAAACCUCUUUCAGCAGGGACGAAGCGUAAGUGACGGUACCUGCAGAAGAAGCGCCGGCCAACUACGUG
RNAcentral lists this ribosomal RNA (462 nucleotides) under uncultured bacterium. RNAcentral's name for it is "partial 16S ribosomal RNA". It matches the Rfam family "Bacterial small subunit ribosomal RNA", at positions 28 to 507 of the family's 1533-position model. The record is from RNAcentral.